This is a non-coding RNA of Arthromyces matolae, 84 nucleotides long. The record is from the annotation of a GenBank genome assembly. Lineage: Eukaryota; Fungi; Basidiomycota; Agaricomycetes; Agaricales; Lyophyllaceae.
UCGGAUAUGGUGUAACGGCUAACAUUGCCGCCUCUCACCAGUGCGCGAGCGCGGCAGCUCGGGGUUCGAUUCCCCGUAUCCGAA